Long non-coding RNA from Xenia sp. Carnegie-2017, 91 nucleotides. RefSeq lists it as uncharacterized. The transcript is spliced from 4 exons. Lineage: Eukaryota; Metazoa; Cnidaria; Anthozoa; Malacalcyonacea; Xeniidae. The record is from RefSeq and is a predicted model, not a curated record.
UAUCAACGCAAAGUAUAUGGGUUAUAAAAACAAUUGGGUACAUUUGUUAAUGAGCCUUAGCUAUGAAACUUUUUUUUAUGCCUUUGUGAUU